GGUGUCCUAUGGCCAAUCACAUUUGGAAAAACUACCCAUUUAUGCCCGUUAUUGGAGAUUCAUAAGACUUUGUAGUUUUUCCAAGCCCAGGGGAAGUAUAAAGCUGAACCAAACACUAAAAUGGAAACGAAGAUAGAAGUUCUCUUAAACAACAAAUACUGAAGAUGUAUGCUUAUAGCCAACUUUCCUCCUUAUAUUUUCUUUAAAAAUAAAUGAUGUAAAAUUAC
Molecule: long non-coding RNA, 227 nt
Organism: Leopardus geoffroyi (Geoffroy's cat)
Lineage: Eukaryota; Metazoa; Chordata; Mammalia; Carnivora; Felidae
Exons: 2
Source: RefSeq, a predicted model, not a curated record